RNAcentral lists this ribosomal RNA (253 nucleotides) under uncultured bacterium. RNAcentral's name for it is "partial 16S ribosomal RNA". It matches the Rfam family "Bacterial small subunit ribosomal RNA", at positions 524 to 776 of the family's 1533-position model. The record is from RNAcentral.
UACGGAGGGAGCUAGCGUUGUUCGGAAUUACUGGGCGUAAAGCGCACGUAGGCGGCCAUUCAAGUCAGAGGUGAAAGCCUGGAGCUCAACUCCAGAACUGCCUUUGAAACUAGAUGGCUUGAAUCCAGGAGAGGUGAGUGGAAUUCCGAGUGUAGAGGUGAAAUUCGUAGAUAUUCGGAAGAACACCAGUGGCGAAGGCGGCUCACUGGACUGGUAUUGACGCUGAGGUGCGAAAGCGUGGGGAGCAAACAGG